CCCGUACCUGUCUCUCUCUCUUCCCUCACGACUCUCUCUCACUCUCAGUUCUCUCUCUCUUCCUCUCCGACGCUCAACCUCACCCAAAACCACCUAAAACAUAAACAAACGUCCAAGGUAAGACCACAUUUGGACUCCUGGAACUUCCACGAUCACGUAGACAUCAAUUUCAGGGAAAUCUAAGCUCACAGGGAGCUCUAGGAGGUUCCCACGAAAGCUCGAGUGCUUCGUUGGAAGUUUUUGACGAAAGAACACGGAGAUCGACGAGUUCAAAGUUUGGCCGGAGCUUUCGAGGCAUUUUCCGGCGAAUCCCCGGCGAGUUAGGAGUCGAGUUUCCGGCGACCUCCG
Long non-coding RNA from Malus domestica (apple), 348 nucleotides. RefSeq lists it as uncharacterized. NCBI's taxonomy places the organism in Eukaryota, Viridiplantae, Streptophyta, Magnoliopsida, Rosales, Rosaceae. The record is from RefSeq and is a predicted model, not a curated record.